UGAGCAAUCUGCCCUUCUCAUCGGAAUAAGCGUUGGAAACGACGUCUAAUGCCGAAUACGACCUCCUUUCGCAUGAUCGGAGGUGGAAAGCUCCGGCGGAGAAGGAUGAGCUCGCGGCCUAUCAGCUAGUUGGUGUGGGUAAUGGCCCACCAAGGCGACGACGGGUAGCCGGCCUGAGGAGGGUGACCGGCCACACUGGGACUGAGACACGGCCCAGACUCCGUACGGGAGCAG
This 234-nucleotide ribosomal RNA is filed under the name uncultured bacterium. RNAcentral's name for it is "partial 16S ribosomal RNA". It matches the Rfam family "Bacterial small subunit ribosomal RNA", at positions 118 to 347 of the family's 1533-position model. The record is from RNAcentral.